GUCGAGAAUCUUUCACAAUGGGGGCAACCCUGAUGGAGCGACGCCGCGUGGAGGAUAAGGUCUUCGGAUUGUAAACUCCUGUCAUGCGUGAACAAGGUUGCUUGUUAAUACCUGGGCAAAUUGAUGGUAACGCAGGAGGAAGAGACGGCUAACUCUGUGCCAGCAGCCGCGGUAAUACAGAGGUCUCAAGCGUUGUUCGGAAUCACUGGGCGUAAAGGGUGCGUAGGUGGCGUGGUAAGUCAGAUGUGAAAGCCCGGGGCUCAACCUCGGAACUGCAUCCGAUACUGCCAUGCUAGAGUACUGGAGAGGUGACUAGAAUUCUCAGUGUAGCAGUGAAAUGCGUAGAUAUCGAGAGGAAUACCAAAGGCGUAGGCAGGUCACUGGACAGUUACUGACACUGAGGCACGAAGGCCAGGGGAGCGAACGGGAUUAGAUACCCUUGUAGUCC
Molecule: ribosomal RNA, 448 nt
Filed under: uncultured bacterium
Lineage: Bacteria
Description: partial 16S ribosomal RNA
Rfam family: Bacterial small subunit ribosomal RNA
Source: RNAcentral